AAACGACUCUCGGCAACGGAUAUCUCGGCUCACGCAUCGAUGAAGAACGUAGCAAAAUGCGAUACUUGGUGUGAAUUGCAGGAUCCCGUGAACCAUCGAGUUUUUGAACGCAAGUUGCGCCCGAAGCCACCCGGUUGAGGGCACGUCUGCCUGGGCGUCACGC
This 163-nucleotide ribosomal RNA is filed under the name Eupatorium rotundifolium. RNAcentral describes it as "5.8S ribosomal RNA". It matches the Rfam family "5.8S ribosomal RNA". From Rfam's summary of the family: 5.8S ribosomal RNA (5.8S rRNA) is a component of the large subunit of the eukaryotic ribosome. The record is from RNAcentral. RNAcentral also lists the same sequence under 1 other name. Lineage: Eukaryota; Viridiplantae; Streptophyta; Magnoliopsida; Asterales; Asteraceae.